ACUCAAAUGAAUUGACGGGGACUUGCACAAGCGGUGGAUUAUGUGGUUUAAUUCGACGAUAAACGAAGAACCUUACCAAGGUUAGAAAUCCUAACGAAAGAUCCCAGAAACGGGAUCCCUCGCAAGACGGUAGGACAGGUGAUGCAUGGCCGUCGUCAGUUCGUGGUUUGAAUUGUUCCCUUAAGUGGGGUAACGAACGCAACCCUCGUCGUGUGUUAUAAGUGUCACACGAGACUGCCCCGACCUUUGAACAUGAGCGCUAUAUUUUAUAGCUGGCUCGUGAGUAAAGGUCGGGGAGGAAGGGGAGGAUGACGCCAGGUCAGCAUGUCCCUCUGAUACCUUGGGCUACACACAUAAUACAAUCGCCAUUACAACGGGCAGCGACGAGGUAACUCUGAGCAAAUCCUAAUAAAAAUGGCGCCAGUUCGGAUUGGGGGCUGCAACUCGACCCCAUGAAGUUGGAAUCGCUAGUAAUCGCGGGUCAGAUAUACCGCGGUGAAUACGUUCUCAAGUCUUGUACACACCGCCCGU
This 531-nucleotide ribosomal RNA is filed under the name uncultured bacterium. RNAcentral describes it as "partial 16S ribosomal RNA". It matches the Rfam family "Bacterial small subunit ribosomal RNA", at positions 899 to 1397 of the family's 1533-position model. The record is from RNAcentral.